AUGCUCUACUCUUGCCUUCCCUUUCUCCUGGGCACUUUUUUGGGUGUCAGUGCUCAGAUUAUCCACCAAUGGCCAGCUGUCAGGGUGCAGCCUGUGGGCAGUUCACUCUCUCUGGAGUGUACCAUAGAAGGGAAAUCAAACCCCAACCUCUACUGGUACUGGCAGGCCACAGGAGGGACCCUCCAGCAGCUCUUCUUCUCUAUCAGUGUUGGGGAGGUAGAAUCGGUGCUGUCUCGGAACCUCUCAGCCUCCAGGCCCAAGGAUGGCCUGUUCACCCUGAGCUCUGAGAAGCUGCUCCUCAGUCACUCUGGCUUCUACUUCUGUGCUUGGAGUCCACAAGGGGUAGCCGAAUCUUUGGUGGCCACUUGCUUAAUGUCACACAGCUAG
Onychomys torridus (southern grasshopper mouse) is the source of this 387-nucleotide non-coding RNA. Lineage: Eukaryota; Metazoa; Chordata; Mammalia; Rodentia; Cricetidae. The record is from the annotation of a RefSeq genome assembly.